Molecule: ribosomal RNA, 565 nt
Filed under: Diaporthe longicolla
Lineage: Eukaryota; Fungi; Ascomycota; Sordariomycetes; Diaporthales; Diaporthaceae
Description: LSU rRNA
Rfam family: Eukaryotic large subunit ribosomal RNA
Source: RNAcentral
CUUAAGCAUAUCAAUAAGCGGAGGAAAAGAAACCAACAGGGAUUGCCCUAGUAACGGCGAGUGAAGCGGCAACAGCUCAAAUUUGAAAUCUGGCUUCGGCCCGAGUUGUAAUUUGCAGAGGAUGUUUCUGGCGCGGUGCCUUCCGAGUUCCCUGGAACGGGACGCCACAGAGGGUGAGAGCCCCGUAUGGUCGGACACCAAGCCUGUGUGAAACUCCUUCAACGAGUCGAGUAGUUUGGGAAUGCUGCUCUAAAUGGGAGGUAAAUCUCUUCUAAAGCUAAAUACCGGCCAGAGACCGAUAGCGCACAAGUAGAGUGAUCGAAAGAUGAAAAGCACCUUGAAAAGGGGGUUAAAUAGUACGUGAAAUUGUUGAAAGGGAAGCACUUAUGACCAGACUUGGGCCGGGCGGCUCAUCAGGGGUUCUCCCCUGUGCACUCCGCCCGGCACAGGCCAGCAUCGGUUUUCGCGGGGGGAUAAGACCGACGGGAACGUAGCACCCUCCGGGGUGUGUUAUAGCCCGGCGGACGAUACCCUCGCGGGGACCGAGGUCCGCGCUCCGCAAGGA